Molecule: long non-coding RNA, 1056 nt
Organism: Cynoglossus semilaevis (tongue sole)
Lineage: Eukaryota; Metazoa; Chordata; Actinopteri; Pleuronectiformes; Cynoglossidae
Exons: 2
Source: RefSeq, a predicted model, not a curated record
UGUGCACUUUUUUCACUUUCAAAAUUCAUCAACUGGGCCGGAUUGAACACCCUAGCUGGCCAGUUUUGGCCCACGGGCUGUAGGUUCGACACCCCUGUCUUACACUAUAUGUCAAUAGAAAAUGUUUCCCUAUUGUGCAAAGCAUAUUUUUAAGGAGUUGUUUUUUAGAGGAACUCCUUAUGUUUUGCAUUUAAUACCAAAGUAAAACAGUUGUUUUGUUUAGUUGAACACAAUGCUGAUAUACUCAGGAAUAGAAGAAAGAAACACCAAAGAGCAAUUCAGUGGAAUUGGAUAGUUUUCCACAGUACACCGCCCGGUGGUUGGGAAUCACUGACUUAGAGUGUGGCUGAAAAUAGAGUUCAAAAGGCAUAAAUUCCUACCUACUAGUUAAUCUACGACUUAAAUCGACAAUUACCUACCUCCUUUUAUCUAAGUUCCCAUUCCAGGUCAACUCAGGGUCAAAGCUUUGAUGGAAAAAAGUAGGUUACAUACACAGAGAUAUCGAUCUGCUUACUGUUCUCCCGUGAGGCUAGGAAGUUUUUUGAUCUACGAUGUAGAAGGAAAGAGAGAGAUCUUUGAAUUAUUUGUGUUGUUUCCUGUUUCCUCCUUUCCUGUUUAGCGAUGGAUUAUUAUAUCAGUCGCUGUUCGAGGAGAUUGCUAAAGAACUGAUGGAGGAGGGGAGAAUUUUGACCCAUAACUUAGUGCUACAUAAUCUAAAAAAACUGGAAUGACAAAUGCCUCUGGGCCCUGUUAAAAGAAUGACUUUUUAAACCUCAUUUGUGCUAAUAAUAUUGUUUUAUGGAGACAUGACUUUUCAUUGGACCGAUGCCUGUCCUGUCCACCGGUCUCCUACACGAGGCUAAAAGGGUGGAGGCUCGUUCCGUCCUCAUCAACCGUGCACGACGACACAACGACACAGAACACACAAACCAGCCAGGGUUGCUUUCACAAAAUAGUUUUACUGGUAAAAAAUAGAACUACUUGCACAAGCACAUUGAGACACCUGUAUCAGAACUUGUGAACUGUUCAUCAUCACAAUUAUGCUCUGCAAAGUAA